RNAcentral lists this ribosomal RNA (253 nucleotides) under uncultured bacterium. RNAcentral's name for it is "partial 16S ribosomal RNA". It matches the Rfam family "Bacterial small subunit ribosomal RNA", at positions 524 to 776 of the family's 1533-position model. The record is from RNAcentral.
UACGUAGGGCGCAAGCGUUAUCCGGAAUUAUUGGGCGUAAAGAGCUCGUAGGCGGUUUGUCGCGUCUGCUGUGAAAGACCGGGGCUCAACUCCGGUUCUGCAGUGGGUACGGGCAGACUAGAGUGAUGUAGGAGAGACUGGAAUUCCUGGUGUAGCGGUGAAAUGCGCAGAUAUCAGGAGGAACACCGAUGGCGAAGGCAGGUCUCUGGGCAUUAACUGACGCUGAGGAGCGAAAGCAUGGGGAGCGAACAGG